GUCAGGUGGGGAGUUUGGCU
This 20-nucleotide unclassified non-coding RNA is filed under the name Dictyostelium discoideum. The record is from RNAcentral. Lineage: Eukaryota; Evosea; Eumycetozoa; Dictyosteliales; Dictyosteliaceae.